Diceros bicornis minor is the source of this 1101-nucleotide long non-coding RNA. RefSeq lists it as uncharacterized. The transcript is spliced from 3 exons. The record is from RefSeq and is a predicted model, not a curated record. Lineage: Eukaryota; Metazoa; Chordata; Mammalia; Perissodactyla; Rhinocerotidae.
GUCUCUCCACGGCGGGAGCCCCACACACUCCACCACCACCCCACACUCUCCACCCGCUCCUUGUGCACGCCCUGCCCCACUGAAGUCAGCUCAGUUGGCAGGCUGCAGAGAAUCCAGUCACCAAUCUAUGCAGGCCCACAAGUUGCCUGAGGGCUUGUUGUUGGGUGGGGCCAGUCUCUAGGGUAGGCUGCCUGCCCUGGCUGAGCUGGAUUAAAUCGGUGCUCUAGUGGAUGGGGCAGACCUGGGCUAGCAGGCCCCAGGGAGAACUCCAAUGGCGUCUGUGUCAGCAUGCCCACACCAGGCCACAACAAUGGCUGCUGCCAAUGUCCCAGUCCCUGGAGAGGUCUCACCUCUCACCGAGAUGCACUCAGGGCCUGUCAGAUGAGCCUGAGAAUCCAAGUCAGUGAAAUUUCCACUUUUCCUUGCUGAAGCCUGUCAUCCUCCAACUCCACCUUAGGCUGGAGAAGUCUACUUUCUUCUCUGAUAGAGCUGGAGAACCUUCCAAGGGAAGACCAGCCCUGAGCUAACAUCUGAUGCCAAUGCUCCUCUUUUUUGCUGAGGAAGAUCGCCCCUGAGCUAACAUCUGUGCCCAUAUUCCUCUACUUUAUAUGGGAUGCCACCACAGCAUAGCCUGACAAGCGGUGCGUCAGUGCAUGCCCGGGAUCCAAACCUGGGAACCCCAGGACCCCGAAGCAGAGCGUGCGCACUUAACCGCUAUGCCACUAGGCCAGCACCGCUGGAUAAUUUUUUUUAAAACAAUUCUUCUCCUACAUACUCCAAAAGAAAAUAGUUAUCCCGAGCUGUGUCUGUGUAAGCUGAUUAUUUUGUCUCUUCUCUGGGCUCUACACUUCUACACUACUCUACACUGGGCUCACUCAUGCCUGCUUAGAAAGUUCUGUUUCACUCCGAGUUGCUGGAGUGAGGUUUUCAUUAGUUAGUAUGAACAUACCACCACUAUGCGUCCAUCCUGCAACAGCCUGUAGGGGACUCCUUAAUAGCCUUCAUAAGAAAGACUGACUUAAUGUCUCCUAAGUGUGUUUAAAUUCAUAAAAAUAACUCUGGGACAUCAACUGCAGAGAAUCUCUCCUAAAUCCUGUUGAA